This 537-nucleotide ribosomal RNA is filed under the name Mesacanthion sp. 201796730. Its description in RNAcentral is "SSU rRNA". It matches the Rfam family "Eukaryotic small subunit ribosomal RNA", at positions 78 to 616 of the family's 1831-position model. The record is from RNAcentral. RNAcentral also lists the same sequence under 1 other name. Lineage: Eukaryota; Metazoa; Nematoda; Enoplea; Enoplida; Thoracostomopsidae.
AUGGAGAAACCGCGAAUGGCUCAUUACAACAGCUAUAGUUUAUUAGAUCUUACUCUACUUGGAUACCUGUGGUAACCUAAGAGCUAAUACAUGCAACAAAGUCCUGACCGGAAGGGAAGGACGCAUUUAUUAGAACAAAACCAAUCGGGCUUGCCCGCUUUUUGGUGAAUCUGAAUAACUUUAUGCUGAUCGCACAGUCCACGCACUGGCGACGUAUCUUUCAAAUGUCUGCCUUAUCAACUUUCGAUGGUAGUUUACACGGCUACCAUGGUUUUCACGGGUAACGGAGAAUUAGGGUUCGACUCCGGAGAGGGAGCCUGAGAAACGGCUACCACAUCCAAGGAAGGCAGCAGGCACGCAAAUUACCCACUCCCGGUACGGGGAGGUAGUGACGAAAAAUAACGAGACGGUUCUCAAAGAGGCCCGUCAUCGAAAUGGGUACAAUUUAAAUCCUUUAACGAGGAUCUAUUGGAGGGCAAGUCUGGUGCCAGCAGCCGCGGUAAUUCCAGCUCCAAAAGCGUAUAUUAAAGUUGUUGC